GUGCUCUUCAUAGUGGCAUAUACACUAAAAUUGAAACCACACAUGAGAGAUUAGCAUGGCCUUGCACAUAAAGGACACAAAUAUGUGAAACAUUCCAUAUUUUU
This is a small nuclear RNA of Sorex fumeus (smoky shrew), 104 nucleotides long. The record is from RefSeq and is a predicted model, not a curated record. NCBI's taxonomy places the organism in Eukaryota, Metazoa, Chordata, Mammalia, Eulipotyphla, Soricidae.